UAUCCAUGUUCUUACAAAUGAUCACCUUAAAUUAAAAAAAAAAAUUGCUAAAACAACAAUCACAGAAAAAGAAAGUUAAUACAUCAAAUUACUGCCAAAAUUAUUUUAACAUCACCCUUUCCAGAGGCAAAGCUUGUUCAGAAUCAUCCAGUGGGGAAUAUUUUCCCACAAAAUUUAACUUGGAAAGAUCCAGCCUAAAAUAACUCUAUUUUAAACGUUAUUUCAACAUAUUUUAACGAAGCCCUAUGAAUUAUGAAAAUAGCCUUCUGAUAAUACUAAUAAUAUGCCUGAAUAAGACCUUGUAACUUGUUGCUUGCUAAACAACUUCUUUUCAGAUGCUUCACAAUUGAUAUUUGAUAUAGGUGAAGCAGAAAUCAUCUCGAGGAAAUAGCACUGAACAGUAAUGCCCUGAAACACAGCAUUUGUUGUCUCCAAGCCACUGUUAAGCUAAGCUUUCUGGCCCCCAGAUCUGCACCUGACCUUUACCACCUCCUCAUCAUCCACUCUGGUCUGCAUCCUCUUGACCGCGUCUGAGUCUCCUUUGGGGCUGGAUGUCUGCUUCAGCAUUAGGAAAUGGACACAUCUAUAGAAUCUCUCAUGGCAACACACCAAGUAUUGUAAACUUCGUCCUUUCAACAAGUUAUAUUACUAAAAAUCGACAAACUGAACUCACAUGAAUGUGUACUUACAGAGUUGUGGCUCCUGAUUCUAUUUAAGGAUCUUAACUUCACUCUCACAGAUGGACCCACCUGUGGCUACGUUUACACACUAUGAUCCUAGCUAUUUUUCCUAGUGUUGGAAUGUUGGUCUGAGAUAUGGAAAUGACAGACCAUUCAUUGAGAAGUGCAGAAAAAAAGGAGAGCUACACAAUUUACCCAAGAGGUAUUUAUAAUCAUUGGGUAACAUCAAAAUCGGCAAUUAUGUAAAUUGGAAACCUUGGUUUUUAUUCAGUGGAGCUGUAUUAAAUCUUCAUUGGUACAGGAGAAAAGUGAGAGUUUAAUUUUAUACAUUCUUUCGAAUUCAAUUUAUGAUCACAUAAAUGUGCUUUUCCAUAUUAACUUUCUCAUAAAGAGCACAAUUUUCACUUUGAGGAAAAAUAGUAUUUCAGUGAACAAAUUCAAGAGCCCUUUAUAUCUGGCUUCAGUUAUGGGAAAAUAAAUCUAGAAGUCCUGACUGUGUUGAUUAAACUCUUAUAACUUUACAAGAUUAGAGCAAGAGUCUUUGAAAAUAAAAAGUCUUGAUUGAUAAUAAUGUUGAAAAUAUUAUUGUUAAAAACAAGGUCAUCCAUAUGUAUGAUUAAAGGUGGAAAGAGUUUGAAAUUCACCUCCAAUUUCUCAGUGAAGUAUGAAAGACAGCCAGAGAGUUUGUUCAUAAUAUUUGCAAGUAGAUUUUUAAAAAUUUAGACUUGAUACGUAAUCUAAAACAAAAUAUUCUCAAUCUUAUGCUUAACCUCAUGCCAUAAAGUGAAAAUGACGCUUUGAACUACCCUGGAUAAAUUUUAGAAUCAUUUUAUUGAAUAAAUUACUGGAAUAGAAAAUGUCCUAUAUCUACUAUUGCUUGCUUUUUUACUGCACCCUGCCCCAUCCCACU
Long non-coding RNA from Homo sapiens (human), 1590 nucleotides. RefSeq lists it as uncharacterized. The transcript has 5 exons. The record is from RefSeq and is a predicted model, not a curated record. Lineage: Eukaryota; Metazoa; Chordata; Mammalia; Primates; Hominidae.